GGCCACCGGUGACGCCUCCCCAGCGACUCACGGCCCUGAGUGUUGACAUUUUUGUUGGAGAAGUCUCAUGCCUGGUCCCUGUGCUGGUCUGACUCAGUGCACUGUCCCCACAGGGAAGUCCCACCUGGCCAUCGUGCAGAAGGUGAACAACGAGGGCGAGGGCGACCCCUUCUAUGAGGUGCUGGGCCUGGUCACCCUGGAGGAUGUCAUCGAAGAGAUCAUCAAGUCCGAGAUCCUGGACGAGUCGGACACGUACACUGACAACCGAAGCCGGAAACGGGUGUCUGCAAAGAACAAGCGUGAUUUCUCCGCCUUCAAGGAUGCUGACAAUGAACUCAAAGUCAAGAUCUCUCCUCAGCUGCUUCUGGCUGCCCAUCGCUUCCUGGCCACAGAGGUGCCCCAGUUCAGUCCCUCUCUGAUAUCAGAGAAGAUUCUGCUGCGGUUGCUCAAGUACCCAGAUGUCAUCCAGGAGCUCAAGUUUGAUGAGCACAACAAGUACUACGCCCGCCACUACUUGUAUACCCGGAACAAGCCGGCCGACUACUUCAUCCUCAUCCUGCAGGGGAAGGUGGAGGUGGAGGCAGGCAAGGAGAACAUGAAGUUUGAGACAGGCGCCUUCUCCUACUAUGGGACCAUGGCCCUGUCCUGGGUCCCCUCUGUUCCUUCCACCCAGGCCGGGUGUCCGCUUGGCAAGCGGAACUCGCUGCUGUCCUGGCUCUCAGACCGCUCCCCAUCGCACCCCAUGCCCCUCAGCCGCUCAGCCUCCCUCAGUUACCCGGACCGCAGCACAGAUGCGUCCACCACGUCCACCCUGGCGGCUGGCAGCAACCAGUUUGGCAGCUCCAUCCUGGGCCAGUACAUCUCGGACUUCAGUGUCCGGGCACUCAUGGACCUGCAGUACAUUAAGAUCACGCGGCAGCAGUACCAGAACGGGCUGAUGGCCUCCCGCAUGGAGAACGGCCCACAGUUUCCGCUGGACGGGUGCACCACCUGCACGGAGAACUUCACCGAGAAGCCCGAGCUGCCCGUGGUGGACGAGACCACAACGCUGCUCAACGAGCGCAACUCCUUGCUGCACAGAGCCUCCCCGGACAGCGCCAUCUGA
RNAcentral lists this long non-coding RNA (1105 nucleotides) under Ictidomys tridecemlineatus (thirteen-lined ground squirrel). RNAcentral's name for it is "lncRNA (ENSSTOG00000033230.1)". The record is from RNAcentral. Lineage: Eukaryota; Metazoa; Chordata; Mammalia; Rodentia; Sciuridae.